RNAcentral lists this small RNA (184 nucleotides) under Xanthomonas campestris pv. campestris. RNAcentral describes it as "ncRNA of unknown function". Lineage: Bacteria; Pseudomonadati; Pseudomonadota; Gammaproteobacteria; Lysobacterales; Lysobacteraceae. The record is from RNAcentral.
GCUAGCGUGUGCUGCGAACCAUGCCAGCAAGCCUGCGCAACUUACGCAACUUGCGAGGCAGCCAGCUUUUGAUCCGGCUACCGACCAACGUCCUGGUGCGGUGUCCUUGCCGAUUGCGGGACUGUGUGGCGGCAUGGAUGCCGCUACGUAGCCUCCAUGGACGGAUUUACGGCGUGUCCCGCCA